This 467-nucleotide ribosomal RNA is filed under the name Weeksellaceae bacterium. Its description in RNAcentral is "partial 23S ribosomal RNA". It matches the Rfam family "Bacterial large subunit ribosomal RNA", at positions 1 to 525 of the family's 2925-position model. The record is from RNAcentral. Lineage: Bacteria; Pseudomonadati; Bacteroidota; Flavobacteriia; Flavobacteriales; Weeksellaceae.
AAAGAAAUCGUUAAGGGCGUAUGGCGGAUGCCUAGGCUUUCAGAGGCGAAGAAGGACGUGGUAAGCUGCGAAAAGCUCGGGGGAUUGGCACACACGAAUUGAUCCCGAGAUGUCCGAAUGGGGCAACCCGGCUGGUUGAAGACCAGUCACUUUAUAUUUAUAUAGAGAGCAAACCCGGAGAACUGAAACAUCUAAGUACCCGGAGGAAAAGAAAUCGAAGAGAUUCCGUAAGUAGCGGCGAGCGAAAGCGGAUUAGCCCAAAAGUCUUUAUAUGUUUAAUAGAAUGCUUUGGAAAGAGCAGCCAUAGACGGUGAUAGCCCGGUAUAUGAAAGGCAUACAUAGAUGAUAAAUGAGUAGGGCGGGACACGUGAAAUCCUGUCUGAAUAUGGGGGGACCAUCCUCCAAGGCUAAAUACUCCUGAAAGACCGAUAGUGAACAAGUACUGUGAAGGAAAGGUGAAAAGCACU